This 406-nucleotide ribosomal RNA is filed under the name uncultured bacterium. Its description in RNAcentral is "partial 16S ribosomal RNA". It matches the Rfam family "Bacterial small subunit ribosomal RNA", at positions 29 to 526 of the family's 1533-position model. The record is from RNAcentral.
AUUGAACGCUGGCGGCAGGCCUAACACAUGCAAGUCGAACGAGUGGCGGACGGGUGCGUAAUGUCUGGGCAACUGCCCGAUGGAGGGGGAUAACUACUGGAAACGGUAGCUAAUACCGCAUACCAUCGGAUGUGCCCAGCGGGGAUUAGCUAGUAGGUGUGGUCAUGGCUCACCUAGGCGACGAUCCCUAGCUGGGCUGAGCGGAUGACCAGCCACACUGGAACGGAGAAACGGUCCAGACUCCUACGGGAGGCAGCAGUGGGAAAGAUUGCACAAGGGGCGCAAGCCUGAUGCAGACAUGCCGCGUGUAUGAAGAAGGCCUUCGGGUUGUAAAGUACUUGCAGCGAGGAGGCGUUACUCGCAGAAGAAGCACCGGCUAACUCCGUGCCAGCAGCCGCGGUAAUAC